UUUGGGUUUGAUAUGCAAAGGAGACCAAGAGCCACAGGAACUGCCCGACGGAUAUUUUGUUCCCCAUACUGCAAAAGAUGCUCCAAUGAACGAAUUGCCAUUUCAAGCCCCAAUUCCUCUGCCAUUGCAACCAUGGCAAUCCCUAGCACAGCUGGUCCCUGGUGGGUUUCACCCUUCUCAAGAUGCUGAGCACAAUGACCCAGGAGGUUUUGAACCUUAAGAACAUUCCCAGUCCCCGCAAAGGCACAAGAAAGCAGUGUCAUAUCACAGCAUUUUCUGAUUUUCUCAUUAAAUGUCUUUGAAACUUCUGCUGUGGCCUCCACACUUUCCUGCUUCCCGAGGUAUAGAAGACC
This 353-nucleotide unclassified non-coding RNA is filed under the name Hevea brasiliensis (rubber tree). Lineage: Eukaryota; Viridiplantae; Streptophyta; Magnoliopsida; Malpighiales; Euphorbiaceae. The record is from RNAcentral.